UCUAGAAGUCGAGAUAUGGGCUGAACACUGAACAAUGUCUAGGCUGCAGGACAAAUUCCGACUUCUCCGUUGUUGCUACCAUUUGAACUCGAAAAUGGUACUUUUAAAUCUUGGACUCUUCAUGAAAGUUUUAGGCCUAUGUCUUACUUUCUAUC
Populus trichocarpa (black cottonwood) is the source of this 155-nucleotide non-coding RNA. NCBI's taxonomy places the organism in Eukaryota, Viridiplantae, Streptophyta, Magnoliopsida, Malpighiales, Salicaceae. The record is from Rfam.